RNAcentral lists this small RNA (29 nucleotides) under Arabidopsis thaliana (thale cress). RNAcentral's name for it is "ATSL065400". The record is from RNAcentral. Lineage: Eukaryota; Viridiplantae; Streptophyta; Magnoliopsida; Brassicales; Brassicaceae.
AGAGGAGGAACACUAUUGAACAUCGUGUU